CUACGGGCGGCUCCAGUGAGGAAUAUUGCACAAUGGGGGGAACCCUGAUGCAGCAACGCCGCGUGGAGGAUGACGCAUUUCGGUGUGUAAACUCCUUUUAUAUGUCAAGAAAAUGACGGUAGCAUAUGAAUAAGCACCGGCUAACUCCGUGCCAGCAGCCGCGGUAAUACGGAGGGUGCAAGCGUUACUCGGAAUCACUGGGCGUAAAGGACGCGUAGGCGGGUUGGUAAGUCAGGUGUGAAAUCCUACAGCUUAACUGUAGAACUGCACUUGAAACUACCGACCUAGAGUAUGGGAGGGGAAGAUGGAAUUAGUGGUGUAGGGGUAAAAUCCGUAGAUAUCACUAGGAAUACCUAAAGCGAAGGCGAUCUUCUGGAACAUUACUGACGCUAAGGCGUGAAAGCGUGGGGAGCAAACAGGAUUGGAUACCCGCGUAGUC
RNAcentral lists this ribosomal RNA (439 nucleotides) under uncultured bacterium. Its description in RNAcentral is "partial 16S ribosomal RNA". It matches the Rfam family "Bacterial small subunit ribosomal RNA", at positions 339 to 795 of the family's 1533-position model. The record is from RNAcentral.